UCGGAGGCGCGGUGCUGCCCGCAGCUCUGCCCCACAGCACCCGGAGGAAAACCCAGCCCAGCUGGAGCAUCUGCCAGGGCCAGCCCCUACGUCUCCUACCCAGUUUUCCUGCUCGAACAACGGGCCGGAGGAGCUGUUAUCUGCUUAAUUAUUUCCUUCUUCACAAACUUCCUCACUAGGAAAGAAAUAGACUUUAACUAUCCUGGGUGAGGCUCUCAGAUGGCGUUUGUGAUCAGAACACAGCAUCCCUUCUGUGGACAGAUGGAUGCAUUUAGGGAACCCACACUGUCCUCAUCUCAGGGCACUGUGCCUAAAAUUGGAGGGUUCCUGCUGGAGUGCUGGCAUGGAAGUGUGCCAGUGGGGGCACAUCCCCAGCCAGCUGGACCCAGGACCUGUCCAGCCAUCCUGGCAAGAGCCUUUCUCAGAGCUGUUGGGGUU
Long non-coding RNA from Oxyura jamaicensis (ruddy duck), 438 nucleotides. RefSeq lists it as uncharacterized. The record is from RefSeq and is a predicted model, not a curated record. Lineage: Eukaryota; Metazoa; Chordata; Aves; Anseriformes; Anatidae. The transcript is spliced from 3 exons.